ACGAGCGCACCCUUGUCAUUAAUUGCCAUCAUUUGGUUGGGCACUUUAAUGAAACUGCGCGUGACAAACCGGAGGAAAGUGGGGAUGACAUCUAGUCCUCAUGGCCCUUAUGGGUAGGGCUUCACACGUCAUACAAUGGUCGGUACACAGGGUUGCCAAGCCGCGAGGUGGAGCCAAUCCCACAAAGCCCAUCGUAGUCCGGAAUUGAGUCUGCAACUCCACUCCCUGAAGUCUGAAUCUGCUUAAUCGCGGAUCCCAUGCCCGGUGAAUACGUUC
RNAcentral lists this ribosomal RNA (276 nucleotides) under uncultured bacterium. Its description in RNAcentral is "partial 16S ribosomal RNA". It matches the Rfam family "Bacterial small subunit ribosomal RNA", at positions 1092 to 1373 of the family's 1533-position model. The record is from RNAcentral.